UGCCAAUGAUGUUAGAAAUUGUCCGUACCAUCUGAGAAUCUACUCUUUGAUGAGACUUUUUACAUUUUUUCUGAGGCCA
Small nucleolar RNA from Papaver somniferum (opium poppy), 79 nucleotides. RefSeq annotates it as small nucleolar RNA snoR117. The record is from RefSeq and is a predicted model, not a curated record. Lineage: Eukaryota; Viridiplantae; Streptophyta; Magnoliopsida; Ranunculales; Papaveraceae. The transcript has a single exon.